This 427-nucleotide ribosomal RNA is filed under the name uncultured bacterium. RNAcentral describes it as "partial 16S ribosomal RNA". It matches the Rfam family "Bacterial small subunit ribosomal RNA", at positions 354 to 796 of the family's 1533-position model. The record is from RNAcentral.
GUGAGGAAUCUUCCACAAUGGGCGAAAGCCUGAUGGAGCAACGCCGCGUGAAGGAUGAAGGUCUUCGGAUUGUAAACUUCUUUUAUGAGUGAAGAAUAUGACGGUAACUCAUGAAUAAGCACCGGCUAACUACGUGCCAGCAGCCGCGGUCAUACGUAGGGUGCAAGCAUUAUCCGGAGUGACUGGGCGUAAAGAGUUGCGUAGGCGGUUAUGUAAGCGAAUAGUGAAACCUGGUGGCUCAACCACACAGACUAUUAUUCGAACUGCAGAACUCGAGAAUGGUAGAGGUAACUGGAAUUUCUUGUGUAGGAGUAAAAUCCGUAGAUAUAAGAAGGAACACCAAUGGCGUAGGCAGGUUACUGGGCCAUUUUUGACGCUAAGGCACGAAAGCGUGGGGAGCGAACCGGAUUAGAAACCCCGGUAGUCC